RNAcentral lists this small RNA (29 nucleotides) under Bombyx mori (domestic silkworm). Its description in RNAcentral is "piRNA piR-bmo-1454093". Lineage: Eukaryota; Metazoa; Arthropoda; Insecta; Lepidoptera; Bombycidae. The record is from RNAcentral.
UCCCGGAGGAACCCGACAAUGUCACUAGC